GAAGCAUCUAUCUUCUCUUCUGGAGGAUCCCAACUGUAAACUGGAGAAACUAUACCUGUCAGACUGCAGUAUUACCGAAGAGUGCUUCAGUUAUCUUGCAUCAGCACUGAGAUCAAACCCCUCACACAUGAGAGAUCUGGGACUGAGUGGGAGUAAAGCAGGAGACUCAGGAGUGAAGCAUCUUUCUUCUCUUCUGGAGGAUCCCAACUGUAAACUGGAAAAACUAGACCUACAGUACUGUAGUAUUACAAAUGAAGGCUUCAGAUCUUUAGCAUCAGCAGUGAGAUCAAACCCAUCAGCCCUCAGAGAGCUUCAGCUGAGUUUGAAUGAGCCUGGACCCUCAACACUGCAGCUGUUCUCUGAACUUCAGAAAGAUCCAAACUGUAAACAUAUCAACAUAUCUGGACUGUCAUGAAUCCAUUCACAUUUUAUUCCACAUUAAAUAUUCCUCUCUAUUGUGUAUAAAACAAAUAAUGACAUCUGAUGUCAAAAUGAUUUCUCUUUAGUUACUGGAAUGAUUAGUGACAUGUUGAAGUCACUGCAUAUAUGAUAUAUAGUAGUUGUCCAACAGCUCCUUUCCACUGUACCUGUCUUUGUUUAGGAAGAAAUGAUGUUACUCCUAUCUCUGUACUCCACUGGACUGUAAAUAUAUUUCUCUCUCCCUUGUAUACUACUUGCGUCACCUUACUAUUUGAAGCAAUAUGUAUGUUUUUUUUAAGUAACAAAGAACAAUUGUGCCAGUAGUGUAUACAGAAUG
Molecule: long non-coding RNA, 757 nt
Organism: Clupea harengus (Atlantic herring)
Lineage: Eukaryota; Metazoa; Chordata; Actinopteri; Clupeiformes; Clupeidae
Exons: 3
Source: RefSeq, a predicted model, not a curated record